UUUCAGUCUUUGAAUUUCCCCCAGGUCCACCCACCUGGCUGUGCUGGGAGCUCUGGCUAAUGCCAGAGACCCCAGCAGUCCUCUCCAGAACCAAUGCAAUGGUGUGUGCUCAGGCAUCUGGCUGGAGUGAAAUGAACAUCUCUUCAUGAAGAAGCCAUUGAAGGAGCUUCACUGUCUGCAGUUUACAGCCUGUAUUGGAGAGCAGGAAUGUGCUCAGUCCUGAACACUGCAGAAAGGGAGAACGCUUUCUGAGCAUACUGGUAUCUCAUGUAACCUCUUGCCCUGCAAACUCCAUCUAAAAUGACAACAUCUCUGGAGAGAUUUCUCUGCAUGAUAAACUGCGUUGCAGCCUACCUCUGGUUUAACACACGCUGUAGCAGGCACCAGAAUGUUUGGAGCUCUCUGGUGUAACCUUUGGAGAAGUCAUACGCUAUCAUCACUCUUCCUCUCCACCCACCGAGCUACAGCUGAGGUGACAUGGGAUCGGACGAUUCGGAGAAGAACCUCAGGGCAGGGCUGCCUGAAAUAUCCAGGAGCAUUGACCCUGGGAUACAUGUGGCAGCAGCCCCAGUUGUCCCCUGUGGCAGUGAGUGUGGUAAUUGUACACUGUGAACAGGCACCCUCUUCCCCAAGGAAUUUGAAGUUAUGCAAUUUUUUACAUCUGACUGGGAUUUCAGAGGCUCUGAGUGCUCAGGCAGAGUAA
Molecule: long non-coding RNA, 703 nt
Filed under: Anas platyrhynchos platyrhynchos (common mallard)
Lineage: Eukaryota; Metazoa; Chordata; Aves; Anseriformes; Anatidae
Description: lncRNA (ENSAPLG00000025285.1)
Source: RNAcentral